GGCCAGACUCCUACGGGAGGCAGCAGUGGGGAAUAUUGCACAAUGGGGGAAACCCUGAUGCAGCGACGCCGCGUGAGUGAAGAAGUAUUUCGGUAUGUAAAGCUCUAUCAGCAGGGACGAAAAUGACGGUACCUGAGUAAGAAGCCCCGGCUAACUACGUGCCAGCAGCCGCGGUAAUACGUAGGGGGCAAGCGUUAUCCGGAAUUACUGGGUGUAAAGGGAGCGUAGACGGCUGUGCAAGUCUGGAGUGAAAGGCGGGGGCCCAACCCCCGGACUGCUCUGGAAACUGUAUGGCUGGAGUGCAGGAGAGGUAAGCGGAAUUCCUAGUGUAGCGGUGAAAUGCGUAGAUAUUAGGAGGAACACCAGUGGCGAAGGCGGCUUACUGGACUGUAACUGACGUUGAGGCUCGAAGGCGUGGGGAGCAAACAGGAUUAGAUACCCCCGUAA
Molecule: ribosomal RNA, 447 nt
Filed under: uncultured bacterium
Lineage: Bacteria
Description: bacterial SSU rRNA
Rfam family: Bacterial small subunit ribosomal RNA
Source: RNAcentral